UAGCGGCCGCGAAUUCGCCCUUAGAGUUUGAUCCUGGCUCAGAUUGAACGCUGGCGGCAGGCUUAACACAUGCAAGUCGAGCGGGGAAAGGUAGCUUGCUACCUGACCUAGCGGCGGACGGGUGAGUAAUGCUUAGGAAUCUGCCUAUUAGUGGGGGACAACGUUCCGAAAGGAACGCUAAUACCGCAUACGUCCUACGGGGGAAAGCAGGGGAUCUUCGGACCUUGCGCUAAUAGAUGAGCCUAAGUCGGAUUAGCUAGUUGGUGGGGUAAAGGCCUACCAAGGCGACGAUCUGUAGCGGGUCUGAGAGGAUGAUCCGCCACACUGGGACUGAGACACGGCCCAGACUCCUACGGGAGGCAGCAGUGGGGAAUAUUGGACAAUGGGCGCAAGCCUGAUCCAGCCAUGCCGCGUGUGUGAAGAAGGCCUUUUGGUUGUAAAGCACUUUAAGCGAGGAGGAGGCUCCUUUAGUUAAUACCUAAAGAGAGUGGACGUUACUCGCAGAAUAAGCACCGGCUAACUCUGUGCCAGCAGCCGCGGUAAUACAGAGGGUGCGAGCGUUAAUCGGAUUUACUGGGCGUAAAGCGUGCGUAGGCGGCUUUUUAAGUCGGAUGUGAAAUCCCUGAGCUUAACUUAGGAAUUGCAUUCGAUACUGGAAAGCUAGAGUAUGGGAGAGGAUGGUAGAAUUCCAGGCGUAGCGGUGAAAUGCGUAGAGAUCUGGAGGAAUACCGAUGGCGAAGGCAGCCAUCUGGCCUAAUACUGACGCUGAGGUACGAAAGCAUGGGGAGCAAACAGGAUUAGAUACCCUGGUAGUCCAUGCCGUAAACGAUGUCUACUAGCCGUUGGGGCCUUUGAGGCUUUAGUGGCGCAGCUAACGCGAUAAG
Molecule: ribosomal RNA, 884 nt
Filed under: uncultured Gammaproteobacteria bacterium
Lineage: Bacteria; Pseudomonadati; Pseudomonadota; Gammaproteobacteria
Description: bacterial SSU rRNA
Rfam family: Bacterial small subunit ribosomal RNA
Source: RNAcentral